RNAcentral lists this ribosomal RNA (460 nucleotides) under uncultured bacterium. Its description in RNAcentral is "partial 16S ribosomal RNA". It matches the Rfam family "Bacterial small subunit ribosomal RNA", at positions 338 to 795 of the family's 1533-position model. The record is from RNAcentral.
CCUACGGGGGGCAGCAGUGAGGAAUAUUGGUCAAUGGGCGAGAGCCUGAACCAGCCAAGUCGCGUGAAGGAUGACGGCCCUACGGGUUGUAAACUUCUUUUGUCAGGGAGCAAUUGAGUCCACGUGUGGGCUUAGCGAGAGUACCUGAAGAAAAAGCAUCGGCUAACUCCGUGCCAGCAGCCGCGGUAAUACGGAGAAUGCGAGCGUUAUCCGGAUUUAUUGGGUUUAAAGGGUGCGUAGGCGGAAUUUCAAGUCAGCGGGAAAACUUCGGGGCUCAACCCCGUCGUGCCGUUGAAACUGAUGUUCUCGAGUUGGAGAGAAGUAUGCGGAAUGCGCGGUGUAGCGGUGAAAUGCAUAGAUAUCGCGCAGAACUCCGAUUGCGAAGGCAGCAUGCCGGCUCCACACUGACGCUGAGGCACGAAAGCGUGGGUAUCGAACAGGAUUAGAUACCCCGGUAGUC